RNAcentral lists this ribosomal RNA (460 nucleotides) under uncultured bacterium. RNAcentral describes it as "partial 16S ribosomal RNA". It matches the Rfam family "Bacterial small subunit ribosomal RNA", at positions 338 to 795 of the family's 1533-position model. The record is from RNAcentral.
CCUACGGGGGGCAGCAGUGAGGAAUAUUGGUCAAUGGGCGCGAGCCUGAACCAGCCAAGUAGCGUGAAGGAUGACUGCCCUACGGGUUGUAAACUUCUUUUAUAAAGGAAUAAAGUGAGGCACGUGUGCCUUUUUGUAUGUACUUUAUGAAUAAGGAUCGGCUAACUCCGUGCCAGCAGCCGCGGUAAUACGGAGGAUCCGAGCGUUAUCCGGAUUUAUUGGGUUUAAAGGGUGCGUAGAUGGGUUGUUAAGUCAGUUGUGAAAGUUUGCGGCUCAACCGUAAAAUUGCAAUUGAUACUGGCAGACUUGAGUACAGUUGAGGGAGGCGGAAUUCGUGGUGUAGCGGUGAAAUGCUUAGAUAUCACGAAGAACUCCGAUUGCGCAGGCAGCUUGCUAAUCCGCAACUGACGCUGAUGCACGAAAGCGUGGGUAGCGAACAGGAUUAGAUACCCUAGUAGUC